Molecule: ribosomal RNA, 1309 nt
Filed under: Clostridioides difficile
Lineage: Bacteria; Bacillati; Bacillota; Clostridia; Peptostreptococcales; Peptostreptococcaceae
Description: partial 23S ribosomal RNA
Rfam family: Bacterial large subunit ribosomal RNA
Source: RNAcentral
GGUCAAGUUAUUAAGGGUGCAGGGCGGAUGCCUUGGCACUAGGAGCCGAUGAAGGACGUGAUAAGCUGCGAUAAGCUUCGGGGAGUUGCACGUAAACUUUGAUCCGAAGAUUUCCGAAUGAGGAAACUCACUUAGAGUAAUGUCUAAGUAUCAUUAAGUGAAUACAUAGCUUAAUGAGGGGAACUCAGGGAACUGAAACAUCUAAGUACCUGAAGGAAGAGAAAGAAAUUCGAUUCCGUAAGUAGCGGCGAGCGAACGCGGAUUAGCCCAAACCAAUAAAGUUUUCUUUAUUGGGGUUGCGGACAUAUCAUAACGAAGAGGUAUCGUAAUUGAAGAGGUUUGGAAAGACCCACCACAGAAGGUAAUAGUCCUGUAUGUUAAACGAGAAGACUUUAGAUAUGAUCCAGAGUACCACGGGACACGUGAAACCCUGUGGGAAGCAGGAGGGACCACCCUCCAAGGCUAAAUACUACCUAGUGACCGAUAGCGUAUAGUACCGUGAGGGAAAGGUGAAAAGAACCCCGGGAGGGGAGUGAAAUAGAACCUGAAACCCUGCACUUACAAGCUGUGGAAGCACAUUUCUUGUGUGACCGCGUACUUUUUGUAGAACGGGCCAACGAGUUACGUUAAGUAGCAAGGUUAAGCACUUAAGGUGCGGAGCCGUAGCGAAAGCGAGUUUUAACUGAGCGUUCAGUUACUUGACGUAGACCCGAAACCGGGCGACCUACCCAUGAGCAGGAUGAAGCGAAAGUAAAAUUUCGUGGAGGUCCGAACCCACGAGCGUUGAAAAGCUCGGGGAUGACUUGUGGGUAGCGGUGAAAUUCCAAUCGAGCCCGGAGAUAGCUGGUUCUCCCCGAAAUAGCUUUAGGGCUAGCCUCAAGGUGAGAGAUACGGAGGUAGAGCACUGAAUGUCCUAGGGGGUAUUGCACCUACCGAAGACUAUCAAACUCCGAAUGCCGUCAUCUUAUACUUGGGAGUCAGACUGUGGGUGAUAAGAUUCAUAGUCGAAAGGGCAACAGCCCAGAUCGUCAGCUAAGGUCCCUAAAUGUAAGUUAAGUGGUAAAGGAUGUGGGAUUGCACAGACAACCAGGAUGUUGGCUUAGAAGCAGCCACUCAUUCAAAGAGUGCGUAAUAGCUCACUGGUCGAGUGAUCCUGCGCCGAAGAUUUCCGGGGCUAAAACUUACUACCGAAGCUACGGCAUCAGUAAUGAUGGGUAGGGGAGCUUCCCAUACGGGUUGAAGCAUGACCGUAAGGACAUGUGGACAGUAUGGGAGUGAGAAUGUUGGCAUGAGUAGCGAGAUGUGGGUG